CCCUACGCCAUCUUCCAUUCCCCUAUCUUCUCCUUUGCCAAAUCAUAACACACAAACAUCUAUAUGUCACCAUAUCCACCCACCGCCUUCCAUCACGAUCUCCGCCAUCAACACUAUCGGCUCCGUCCAUUACCACCACUGCCAUAAAUUCAUCUAACAAAUCAGUUCGUUCCUCCACCCCCAACAAUCUCCACCAUCGCCGCCAUCAAUCAUCUAACAUUCUAACACCAUCGGCGGUAGUCAACCAAACAUUUGGGUGCCGCCAUUCAAUCACCACCAUCCCUGAAUCGUUUCGAACAGAGGAUCGCCGCCAUCAAUCACGUUGGAUGUAUCUUUCGCUUAUUUCGAUGAUUAUAUGAACCAAUUCAUGGUUUGUUGACCCUGCAAAAGCUUUGUGCACGUUGGAUGGUCAAAUUAUGCCUGUCAAGUUGGAGACUUCUAGGCUAUUAGUUGAGUUAUUCUUUGUAAUAUACAUUGCAGGCCAAAAUUGGUUGAGUCGGAUAGUGCGCAACAGGUUAAGAGAAAGCUUUUCAGGAGCUGCUUUUCUGUUAUCAAAUAUGUGCUUUGUCUUAGGAUGUGUUAUUUUUGAUGGGCAGGGUGUCUUACCUGCUUCUAUUUCUUUGAGAUUCAUCUUUUGAUUAAUAGUUUGUUUUUAUGCAGAAGCUAUGACUUCUUAACGAGGCAGCAAAAUACUCUGAUGGUAGCUCCACAAAAGAUUAUGGACAUUGUUAGGGAAAGCAUGUUUAAAAGUGCAACCAUCAAGCUUUUACUCUAAUUCACCCUUUUGUCUAAUUUUGUUUAGGCAUGUUUAUAGUCUAAUACUUGGAGACCAUUCAUUUUUCUUUAAAUGGAUUUUGUUUUCUGAAAAAGAAUAUAACUGUCUUUCAUUUUUAA
This is a long non-coding RNA of Erigeron canadensis, 894 nucleotides long. RefSeq lists it as uncharacterized. The transcript has 4 exons. The record is from RefSeq and is a predicted model, not a curated record. Lineage: Eukaryota; Viridiplantae; Streptophyta; Magnoliopsida; Asterales; Asteraceae.